UACGAAGGGGGCGAGCGUUGUUCGGAAUUACUGGGCGUAAAGGGCGCGCAGGCGGCCGAUCAAGUCAGGCGUGAAAGCCCCGGGCUUAACCUGGGAAUUGCGCUUGGGACUGAUGGGCUUGAGUUCGGGAGAGGAGAGUGGAAUUCCCAGUGUAGAGGUGAAAUUCGUAGAUAUUGUGAAGAACACCGGUGGCGAAGGCGGCUCUCUGGACCGAUACUGACGCUGAGGCGCGAAAGCGUGGGGAGCAAACAGG
RNAcentral lists this ribosomal RNA (253 nucleotides) under uncultured bacterium. RNAcentral describes it as "partial 16S ribosomal RNA". It matches the Rfam family "Bacterial small subunit ribosomal RNA", at positions 524 to 776 of the family's 1533-position model. The record is from RNAcentral.